This 842-nucleotide ribosomal RNA is filed under the name Therrya pini. Its description in RNAcentral is "LSU rRNA". It matches the Rfam family "Eukaryotic large subunit ribosomal RNA", at positions 215 to 1461 of the family's 3401-position model. The record is from RNAcentral. Lineage: Eukaryota; Fungi; Ascomycota; Leotiomycetes; Rhytismatales; Rhytismataceae.
AGAAUCCCGUAUGUGACUGGUUGCCUGCGCUCAUGUGAAGCUCCUUCGACGAGUCGAGUUGUUUGGGAAUGCAGCUCUAAAUGGGUGGUGUACUUCAUCUAAAGCUAAAUAUUGGCCAGAGACCGAUAGCGCACAAGUAGAGUGAUCGAAAGAUGAAAAGCACUUUGGAAAGAGAGUUAAACAGUACGUGAAAUUGUUGAAAGGGAAGCGCUUGCAAUCAGACUUGCGCGGCGCCGAUCAGCCUGGGUUCUCCCUGGUGCACUCGGUGCCGCUCAGGCCAGCAUCAGUUUCGGCGGUUGGAUAAAGGCUCAGGGAACGUGGGACGCCUCGGCGUCCGUUAUAGCCCUGGGUGCAAUGCAGCCUGCUGGGACUGAGGACCGCGCUUCGGCUAGGAUGCUGGCGUAAUGGUUGUAAGCGACCCGUCUUGAAACACGGACCAAGGAGUCUAACAUCUAUGCGAGUAUUUGGGUAUUAAACCCAUAUGCGUAAUGAAAGUGAACGGAGGUGAGAACCCUUAAGGGUGCAUCAUCGACCGAUCCUGAUGUCUUCGGAUGGAUUUGAGUAAGAGCAUAGCUGUUGGGACCCGAAAGAUGGUGAACUAUGCUUGGAUAGGGUGAAGCCAGAGGAAACUCUGGUGGAGGCUCGCAGAGGUUCUGACGUAAACCGGUCGGUUUGUGCGUCAAACAGCAGGCUGCCGAGUCUGCUAGUAGGCGCGUUACAGCGCUUGCGACACUGUCAAACUGCUGGAAACCCGGUGUCGACUUCAAAAGUUGACGCUGGAGAUCUGCAGCGAAUGAGAGCCUCUACAGGGCAUCUCUUGCGUUCAGAGACUAGAUGACAGU